UGAACAGUCAUUGCCAUACAUUUCCUCU
RNAcentral lists this non-coding RNA (28 nucleotides) under Mus musculus (house mouse). Lineage: Eukaryota; Metazoa; Chordata; Mammalia; Rodentia; Muridae. The record is from RNAcentral.